AGAACGAACGCUGGCGGCAUGCCUAACACAUGCAAGUCGAACGCGUGUAGCAAUACACGAGUGGCGGACGGGUGAGUAACGCGUGGGAACCUGCCCUGGAGUGGGGGGAUAACCGAUGGAAACGUCGGCUAAUACCGCAUACGUCCUGAGGGAGAAAGAUUUAUCGCUCUAGGAGGGGCCCGCGUCGGAUUAGCUAGUUGGUGAGGUAACGGCUCACCAAGGCGAUGAUCCGUAGCUGGUCUGAGAGGACGAUCAGCCACACUGGGAUUGAGAACGGCCCAGACUCCUACGGGGGGCAGCAGUGAGGAAUUUUCCGCAAUGGGCGCAAGCCUGACGGAGCAACGCCGCGUGCAGGACGACGGCCUUCGGGUUGUAAACUGUCUUUCUCGAGGAAGAAACCGGACGGUACUCGAGGAAGAACGCCCGGCUAACUACGUGCCAGCAGCCGC
This 449-nucleotide ribosomal RNA is filed under the name uncultured bacterium. RNAcentral's name for it is "SSU rRNA". It matches the Rfam family "Bacterial small subunit ribosomal RNA", at positions 26 to 518 of the family's 1533-position model. The record is from RNAcentral.